AUGAACGCUGGCGGCGUGCUUAAUACAUGCAAGUCGAACGAAGCUCCUUAUCUUCGGACGAGGAGUCUUAGUGGCGAACGGGUGCGUAACGCGUUGGUGACCUGCCCCGAAGAGGGGGAUAACAGUUCGAAAGGACUGCUAAUACCCCAUAGGGUCAAAGAGAUUAGAAGCUCAUUGACCAAAGGAGAAAUUCGCUUCGGGAGGGGCCUGCGUCCCAUCAGCUAGUUGGUAAGGUAACGGCUUACCAAGGCGACGACGGGUAGGGGACCUGAGAGGGUGGCCCCCCACAAUGGAACUGAAACACGGUCCAUACACCUACGGGUGGCAGCAGUAGGGAAUAUUAGUUAAUGUGCGAAAGCGCGAACUAGCAACGCCGCGUGUGCGAUGAAGGCCUUCGGGUCGUAAAGCACUUUUCGAGAAGAUGAGGAAGGACAGUACUCUCGGAAUAAGUCUCGGCUAACUACGU
This 466-nucleotide ribosomal RNA is filed under the name uncultured bacterium. RNAcentral's name for it is "bacterial SSU rRNA". It matches the Rfam family "Bacterial small subunit ribosomal RNA", at positions 29 to 506 of the family's 1533-position model. The record is from RNAcentral.